GACGAACGCUGGCGGCGUGCUUAACACAUGCAAGUCGAACGGAAAGGCCCUGCUUUUGUUGGGUGCUCGAGUGGCGAACGGGUGAGUAACACGUGAGUAACCUGCCCUUGACUUUGGGAUAACUUCAGGAAACUGGGGCUAAUACCUGAUAGGAUCUCCUGCUGCAUGGUGUGGGUUGGAAAGUUUCGGCGGUUGGGGAUGGACUCGCGGCUUAUCAGCUUGUUUGUGGGGUAGUGGCUUACCAAGGCUUUGACGGGUAGCCGGCCUGAGAGGGUGACCGGCAAAAUUGGGACUGAGAUACGGCCCAGACUACUACGGGAGGCAGCAGUGGGGAAUAUUGCAGAAUGGGAGGAAGCAUGAUGCAGAAAAGCAGCGUGCGGGAUGAAGGCCUUCGGGUUGUAAAAAGAAUUAGAAUGUGAAGAAGAGUGAGUGACGGUAAUGGGUAAAGAAGCACCGGCUAACUACGUG
Molecule: ribosomal RNA, 468 nt
Filed under: uncultured bacterium
Lineage: Bacteria
Description: partial 16S ribosomal RNA
Rfam family: Bacterial small subunit ribosomal RNA
Source: RNAcentral